This 253-nucleotide ribosomal RNA is filed under the name uncultured bacterium. Its description in RNAcentral is "partial 16S ribosomal RNA". It matches the Rfam family "Bacterial small subunit ribosomal RNA", at positions 524 to 776 of the family's 1533-position model. The record is from RNAcentral.
UACGUAGGGGGCAAGCGUUGUCCGGAAUCAUUGGGCGUAAAGAGCGCGUAGGCGGCCAGAAAAGUCCGCUGUGAAAACUCGAGGCUCAACUUCGAGCUGGCGGUGGAAACUUUCUGGCUAGAGUCCGGAAGAGGAGAAUGGAAUUCCUGGUGUAGCGGUGAAAUGCGCAGAUAUCAGGAAGAACACCCGUGGCGAAGGCGGUUCUCUGGGACGGUACUGACGCUGAGACGCGAAAGCGUGGGGAGCGAACAGG